Molecule: ribosomal RNA, 1553 nt
Filed under: Gammaproteobacteria bacterium
Lineage: Bacteria; Pseudomonadati; Pseudomonadota; Gammaproteobacteria
Description: bacterial SSU rRNA
Rfam family: Bacterial small subunit ribosomal RNA
Source: RNAcentral
CAAUUGAAGAGUUUGAUCAUGGCUCAGAUUGAACGCUGGCGGUAACUUUUAAACAUGCAAGUCGAGCGGUAACAGACAUAAAGAUUCAGCUUGCUGAAUCCGGUGCUGACGAGCGGCGAACGGGUGAGUAACGCGUAGGAAUCUACCCAGUAGCGGGGGAUAGCCCGAGGAAACUCGGAUUAAUACCGCAUACGCCCUGAGGGGGAAAGGGGGCAAUUUAUUGCUCUCACUAUUGGAUGAGCCUGCGUAAGAUUAGCUUGUUGGUAGGGUAAUGGCCUACCAAGGCGACGAUCUUUAGCUGGUCUGAGAGGACGAUCAGCCACAUUGGGACUGAGACACGGCCCAGACAUCUACGGAUGGCAGCAGUUAAGAAUAUUGGACAAUGGGGGCAACCCUGAUCCAGGUAUACCGCGUGUGUGAAGAAGGCCCUAGGGUUGUAAAGCACUUUAAUCAGAGAAGAAGCAUUUUAAGUUAAUACCUUAAUUUGUUGACGUUAACUGAAGAAUAAGGACCGGCUAACUCCGUGCCAGCAGCCGCGGUAAUACGGAGGGUCCAAGCGUUAAUCGGAAUUACUGGGCGUAAAGCGCGCGUAGGCGGUUUAGCAAGUUGUAUGUGAAAGCCCUGGGCUCAACCUAGGAACUGCAUCCAAAACUACUAAGCUAGAGUGCGAGAGAGGAGAGUAGAAUUUCUGGUGUAGCGGUGAAAUGCGUAGAUAUCAGAAGGAAUACCAAUGGCGAAGGCAGCUCUCUGGCUCGUCACUGACGCUGAGGUGCGAAAGCGUGGGUAGCAAACAGGAUUAGAUACCCUGGUAGUCCACGCCGUAAACGAUGACAACUAGCCGUUGGGCAGAUUUAACUGUUCAGUGGCACAGCUAACGCAUUAAGUUGUCCGCCUGGGGAGUACGGCCGCAAGGCUAAAACUCAAAUGAAUUGACGGGGGCCCGCACAAGUGGUGGAGCAUGUGGUUUAAUUCGAUGCAACGCGAAGAACCUUACCAAUCCUUGAAAUCUAGCGAAGUUCGCAGAGAUGUGAAUGUGCCUUCGGGAACGCUAUGACAGGUGUUGCAUGGCUGUCGUCAGCUCGUGUCGUGAGAUGUAUGGUUAAGUCCAGUAACGAGCGCAACCCCUAUCCUUAUUUGCCAGCGCGUAAUGGCGGGAACUAUAGGGAGACUGCCGGGUGAAACCCGGAGGAAGGCGGGGACGAGGUCAAGUCAUCAUGGCCCUUAUGGAUUGGGCUACACACGUGCUACAAUGGGAAGUACAGAGGGACGCUAAAGCGCGAGCUGGAGCCAAACCCUUAAAGCUUUUCUUAGUCCGGAUUGGAGUCUGCAACUCGACUCCAUGAAGUUGGAAUCACUAGUAAUCGCGAAUCAGAAUGUCGCGGUGAAUACGUUCUCGGGCCUUGUACACACCGCCCGUCACAUCAUGGAAGUGGGUUGCACCAGAAGUGGUUAGUCUAACCUUCGGGAAGACGAUCACCACGGUGUGAUUCAUGACUGGGAUGAAGUCGUAACAAGGUAGCCCUAGGGGAACCUGGGGCUGGAUCACCUCCUUA